GUCCACGCUGUAAACGAUGUCUGCUAGCCGUUGGGAUCCUUGAGGUUUCGGUGGCGCAGCUAACGCGAUAAGCAGACCGCCUGGGGAGUACGGCCGCAAGGUUAAAACUCAAAUGAAUUGACGGGGGCCCGCACAAGCGGUGGAGCAUGUGGUUUAAUUCGAUGCAACGCGAAGAACCUUACCACCCCUUGACAUCCAGAGAACUGCCCAGAGAUGGGCGGGUGCCUUCGGGAACUCUGAGACAGGUGCUGCAUGGCUGUCGU
This 263-nucleotide ribosomal RNA is filed under the name uncultured bacterium. Its description in RNAcentral is "partial 16S ribosomal RNA". It matches the Rfam family "Bacterial small subunit ribosomal RNA", at positions 793 to 1055 of the family's 1533-position model. The record is from RNAcentral.